GUCGGGUUGUUGAGUCAAUUUGUUGUUCAUUUAUUCUUCAUCAACUCUUCAGAUCAUGUGAAGAAACGGUGAAGCUAGAAAGUGUGUGUGAGCUGAUGUGGAUUCAGCAGCAUGGAUCAGUGUGAGGACAGAGAGGAGGGAGUCCCUCCCUCUAAAACCACUCUGUGUGGGGAAGAUGAGAGCCAGAGCAAAGGUCAGAGGAUCCAUCAGAAACGCAAACCAGAACCAGAACCAGAACCAGAACCAGAACCCAGCUGUGUGUCCUUUAAGAGCAACAAGUCAAAGGGUCGUAUCAUUAACUUUAAAU
Molecule: long non-coding RNA, 307 nt
Organism: Poeciliopsis prolifica (blackstripe livebearer)
Lineage: Eukaryota; Metazoa; Chordata; Actinopteri; Cyprinodontiformes; Poeciliidae
Exons: 3
Source: RefSeq, a predicted model, not a curated record